Molecule: long non-coding RNA, 404 nt
Filed under: Ananas comosus (pineapple)
Lineage: Eukaryota; Viridiplantae; Streptophyta; Magnoliopsida; Poales; Bromeliaceae
Description: long non-coding RNA (ACOM_LNC000075)
Source: RNAcentral
CAACUCCUUACUUUUGACCGUGUUAAUUUUUCCACGAUUUACAAAUUCAGCUCAGAAUGAGAAUAUAAGUGUCGUGGCACGAGAUCGUACUGAAAAUUUUUCGGCACGGUACGAUAUCGAUCAUAAAAAUUUAUGUAUGCCGACACAUAAUAGUAUGAAAUAUUUAUUUUCAUUAGCAACAAAAUAUUCUAACUUUUAUUAUAUAUUUUUUAUUAAUUUUUUCAAUUUUAUUGAAAAAAUUACUUAUUAAUUUAAAAAAUAGAGGAUUUUACGCUGUGUCAUCGGCGCGGGGACUGUGUCGUACCAAUAUCUUAUUUACACGAUACGGCACGUACCGAUGGACACUUAAAUUUUUUGUUCAGAAGCGCACCACAAAUCGAAUCGAUUGAAAAAAAAAAACAUAA